RNAcentral lists this ribosomal RNA (465 nucleotides) under uncultured bacterium. RNAcentral's name for it is "partial 16S ribosomal RNA". It matches the Rfam family "Bacterial small subunit ribosomal RNA", at positions 338 to 795 of the family's 1533-position model. The record is from RNAcentral.
CCUACGUGAGGCAGCAGUGGGGAAUAUUGCGCAAUGGGCGAAAGCCUGACGCAGCGACGCCGCGUGAGGGAUGAAGGUCUUCGGAUCGUAAACCUCUGUCAGCAGGGAAGAACGGUCACUGUGCUAAUCAGCAGUGAAUUGACGGUACCUGCAAAGGAAGCACCGGCUAACUCCGUGCCAGCAGCCGCGGUAAUACGGAGGGUGCGAGCGUUAAUCGGAAUUACUGGGCGUAAAGCGCUCGUAGGCGGUAUGUCAAGUCAAGGGUGAAAUCCCCGCGCUCAACGUGGGAACUGCCUUUGAAACUGGCAAACUGGAGUGUGUGAGAGGAGAGUGGAAUUCCAGGUGGAGGAGUGAAAUCCGUAGAUAUCUGGAGGAACAUCAGUGGCGAAGGCGACUAUCUGGCACAUAACUGACGCUGAGGAGCGAAAGCGUGGGUAGCAAACAGGAUUAGAUACCCCUGUAGUC